GAGGGGCUCCUCAGUUAAACGACAAGCAAGUUCAUUAAGAAACCGACUUUCCAGCACGGCCCUGUAAUCGCAUUCAUCGGUGAGACUCCGGCGUCUCAACUUCUUGGCAGCCUCGCUGACCUCCGAAUAAGGGCACUGAGCUUCCUUUUGGGGAGAUGGAGAAGACGGGGGGGAUCGGAAGAGAGAGCUGAGAAAGUGAGCAGAGUGAAAAUAAGACAAAACAGAAGGCAACUCAUCUCCUGAAUGCUACGAUGACACCCCUGAGAUCUCAAGAGGAGAAGGGAGGCCUUCAGCACGCGCCACAAUCCAGACAGGAUUUAUGAGAAAAUAUUGCCGGGGGCUGCAGAGAAUCAGGCCUAGAAGUAUUUUGUCCUGAUUCAGGGAAGAGAGUGUUCAGCCUAACAACAUAAUGAAGUUUUUAAAAUCCAGGUUCCCAAGGAGUUUUUAAUCUGGAAUCACCCUUAUGGUAUAGCUACUUUGGGCAUCCACCAUAGCCAAAAGUUCUUCAUCAACAGAAUAUGUAUCUGGAGAGCAUGGGUAGGAUGAGGUAGGAGGGAAGGAAGAAAUCUCCUAUGGGAAAUUGCUUCAAGUGGGGUAAAAGGAUGCACUAAGACUCUAGGUAGAAGAAAGAACAAAUGCAAAUGGAUUCAGAUGGAUCCACUUCAAGGAUGCUCAACUCAGAUCUGUAUUUUGGCCACCAUGAGGGAGUGAAUGAAAUAGCGACAUCAUUUCACAAAUUCCCAGAGGGCAAGGUCAAAGGACUCUAAUAGUCAUUGGCAAGCCAAGUAUAAUUGGCCAAAUUUAUAGUCUUAUAUGUACGAGCUAGCCUGAAUACCAAUGAGUCAUCAGCAAAGAGUCCUGAAGCCGGCUAUCAUGGAUUAAAUAAUAAAAAUAAAAGACAAGAGCAAGGGGGAGAUGAGUAAAUAUGCUUCAACUAACAGAG
This is a long non-coding RNA of Sarcophilus harrisii (Tasmanian devil), 943 nucleotides long. RefSeq lists it as uncharacterized. NCBI's taxonomy places the organism in Eukaryota, Metazoa, Chordata, Mammalia, Dasyuromorphia, Dasyuridae. The transcript is spliced from 2 exons. The record is from RefSeq and is a predicted model, not a curated record.